Long non-coding RNA from Lycium ferocissimum, 2814 nucleotides. RefSeq lists it as uncharacterized. The record is from RefSeq and is a predicted model, not a curated record. Lineage: Eukaryota; Viridiplantae; Streptophyta; Magnoliopsida; Solanales; Solanaceae. The transcript is spliced from 2 exons.
CUCUCUGUUUCACCUAGAGAAGUUCUUUUCUUCAGUUAUGUAGUAGUCAGUGUUUAAAUUCUUAUUUUUGUUCAAGUAUGCCUGUGUCUUCCAAUUAAGCAAUAUGGUUACCUAGAGUGUAUGGAUUUCUAAGAAAGAACAGUUCCGAGUUUCCUUUUGAAUAUCCUACAUAGUCAUUUGAAGUUGGUGUCUGAAUGAGAAUCAAGUUUAAUAGUUUUGAAGGAUUCCAAGUAAUCAUGUUGUCAAAAUCUCCUUGCUUUAGGUGUGAUAUAUGGGAUAAUGUGGUAACUGCCUUUAGAUUAAUAUAAGAGAACUAGUAUAAGUUCUCUAAUCUUAAAAUAUAUAAUGAGCAGGUUAAUAAUUUAGUUCAAAUAAACACUUGAUUAAGAGGAGAUGGGAUUCCAUAUUUCAAUUUCCAGAGAAAUUAUUGUUUUGUUUGGUGUGGUGUUGAAUUGGCAUUUGAAUGAGCUCACGUGUUUCCUGGUUUCUAUUUAAUCUAGUGGCUUAAGGGAUCAAUUAGAUCUUUCUUUUAACUACGACUCAUCUCCAAGUAUCGAUCCUAUCCGAGUAAUGUAAUCUUAAUAUUGUUCGAACAUGUUCUUUCCUCUAAUUUGCUGUUGGAUGACAUUUUUGAAAUACCUUUGGUCUUUAAAACUUGGAGGGAUUAGUGGUAAGCUGAACUUCAUUUUGUUCUGACUUUAGUUGUAAUCUUUGAGAUUGUUAUAGAUCAAAAUUGUUGUAUGAAAAACCAUUACUUAAAAUCUAGAACUUAAGGCUAAUAACACCUUGUCUUUUGGGGUGGAAUGGAAGAUAAACCAAUGCUGUUAGAACUGAAUUAGUUGUAUUGGUAGUGAUUCUUUCUAAAAUGACUUGUUAAAGGAGAUGACUUGUGGCACAAUUAAAGAAGAGUGAAAAAAGGGGUCCUAACUUGAACUUGGCAUGAUUACCUCUUUUAACUCUCUAAAAUUUGUAUAACUCCUGGUGAUAUAGGCUAAUGUAAAACCUUGCUUUUCUCCAAUGAUGUUAUUAUCUGAUGAUUGCAUACAAUUUCUGUUAAGCAUUGAAUUCUGUUCUAUCAUUCUUUUCCUGUUGUUAUGCUGGGUUAAAGUCAAGGCAAGCUUUUGGUUUGGUUUAGCCUCCUCUGAUAGCCUACCAUGCCUAAGGUUCUAGAAACCUUUGGAUCUUGUUGUAGCAUUGGAAACAUGGAUGGUGGGAGUUCACAUCCAUAACCUCCUCGACUUGCUACCUUGGAUACUAUACUUGAUGAGCUUACUACCAUGGUUUGUUGAUUGCUGCUGAAUGAAAAAGAACAAAUGCAACACUUGAUAAGCUUGCUGCACUUGUGAAGCCCUGCAAAGGGCUGUACUUGGAUUAGCUUGCUGCUACUGGUUGCUACUCGUUGUUCCUCAUAGCUGUGACGUUGCGAUAAUCACUGGGUUACUUCAUUCGAACUGCUAUGGUUUCAAAUCCAUGAUAUUGUCACUGGGUUAUGUUCAAAAUGCGUAGCGAGGGAUAUUGGAAAUUUCUUGGAGGAGUUUGUCUGCGAUGAUUCCAAAAACUACGAUCUGAUUUGGUGGGACUAUAUGCGUGUUAGGGUUAGAAUGGAUGUUCGGCUACUAUUGAAACGCAAGAUGCAAGUUAAGGUUCCGAUGGGGAUUCGAUUACACUGUCCAUUAAGUAUGAGUGUCUUGGCAUCUUCUGCCUGUUUUGUGGUUUAAUUGGCCAUUCUGAUAAAUGCGUCGAGGUUUGUAUCGCAUAUCUGGUAUAACUCGUGAACAAUAUUUUUUUGCUUCAUGGCUAAGAGCGGACACGAUAGCAUCACGUCCCAUGGCAGGAUCACAGUGGAUUAGACCUGGCACCGACAAUCAGGAACAUGACAUCCCUAAUGCGGCAAGUCCUAUUUUCUGACAUGGAAUGGCCACCCCUAAAUUUUUGCCAUAAUUCUUGCAGCGAAAAAAAGGCCACGAGUUGAGGGAACCAAAACUACUGAUGAGUGUGAGCAUAAUGAAACUACGACUGAUAGUGUGAACAACCAACUUAUUGGUGCUGAUCCAAAAAAAAAGGGGCUCAUGGCGAGUACUGGACUCCAGACCCGCCAGACAUUAUGAGUUCUUUAUCUUAGAAUUGUCGUGGGCUUGGGAACCCACAGAUAAUUAAGGAAUUGAAGGACAUGGUUUUUUAUAAGUAGCCCAGUCUCAUUCUCCAUCAAGAAGCGAAGACAGGUUGGUCAACACUUAACUAAAUCAGGCCCAACUAAAUUACAAAGGUUUGCUUGUUGUUGAUCCUGUAGGCUCCAGUGGGGGUCUAGCUCUACUUUGGAAGAGAAAAAAAAACUCAUGCUCACUCAUUAGCUACCACAAAUACCUUAUUGAUGUGGAGGUUCAUUUACCAGGUAUUCCUCCGCUUUACAGGUUUUCACGGCUAUCCAGGAUCGCACCAAAGACGUUACUCUUGGAAUUUAUUAAAAUCACUCAAAGAUAGGUCUCAGCUCCUAUGGUGUAUCGUUGGUGACUUCAAUGAUAUACUUGACUAUGGUGAUAAAUUGGGUCGUAUACAACAACCAGAAGGGAGGAUAAAUGGGUUUAGAGAAGCGGUGAAUUUUUGUAAUCUUUUUGAUCUUGGCUAUGUUGGCAACUGGUUCACGUGGGAACGUUGCAGGAAUACACAUAAUUGGGUAAUAGAACGGUUAGACCGUGCACUGGUCAAUAAAGAUUGGCAAUUCUAUUUCCCGAAUGUAAAAGUAGAUCACAUUGAAUCUGCCUCUUUUGGUCACAUAGGCAUUUUUUUAAAUUUGGGACUGAAAGUUAUUUGUUA